RNAcentral lists this ribosomal RNA (128 nucleotides) under Vibrio parahaemolyticus. RNAcentral's name for it is "partial 16S ribosomal RNA". It matches the Rfam family "Bacterial small subunit ribosomal RNA", at positions 1 to 108 of the family's 1533-position model. Lineage: Bacteria; Pseudomonadati; Pseudomonadota; Gammaproteobacteria; Vibrionales; Vibrionaceae. The record is from RNAcentral.
CUUAAAUUGAAGAGUUUGAUCAUGGCUCAGAUUGAACGCUGGCGGCAGGCCUAACACAUGCAAGUCGAGCGGAAACGAGUUAUCAGAACCUUCGGGGGACGAUAGCGGCGUCGAGCGGCGGACGGGUG